GGGAAAGUGGCUCAGUGGUAGAGCACUUGCCUUGCAUGCAUGAGGUCCUGGGUUCGAUUCCUCAGCACCA
Molecule: non-coding RNA, 70 nt
Organism: Dipodomys ordii (Ord's kangaroo rat)
Lineage: Eukaryota; Metazoa; Chordata; Mammalia; Rodentia; Heteromyidae
Source: Rfam